RNAcentral lists this ribosomal RNA (422 nucleotides) under uncultured prokaryote. RNAcentral's name for it is "bacterial SSU rRNA". It matches the Rfam family "Bacterial small subunit ribosomal RNA", at positions 355 to 774 of the family's 1533-position model. The record is from RNAcentral.
UGAGGAAUAUUGGUCAAUGGGCGAGAGCCUGAACCAGCCAUCCCGCGUGCAGGAAGAAGGCCCUAUGGGUUGUAAACUGCUUUUGUGCAUGAAGAACACCCCGCUCGAGAGCGGGGCUGACGGUAAUGCGUGAAUAAGCACCGGCUAACUCCGUGCCAGCAGCCGCGGUAAUACGGAGGGUGCAAGCGUUAUCCGGAUUUAUUGGGUUUAAAGGGUGCGUAGGCGGCCUUUUAAGUCAGUGGUGAAAACCUGCGGCUCAACCGUAGGCGUGCCAUUGAAACUGAAGGGCUUGAGUUAUCAUGAGGCAGGCGGAAUGUGUAGUGUAGCGGUGAAAUGCUUAGAUAUUACACAGAACACCGAUUGCGUAGGCAGCUUGCUAAAGGUACACUGACGCUGAUGCACGAAAGCGUGGGGAUCGAACA